RNAcentral lists this ribosomal RNA (675 nucleotides) under Cortinarius malosinae. RNAcentral describes it as "eukaryotic LSU rRNA". The stretch from base 292 to 445 matches the Rfam family "5.8S ribosomal RNA". The record is from RNAcentral. Lineage: Eukaryota; Fungi; Basidiomycota; Agaricomycetes; Agaricales; Cortinariaceae.
CAAGGUUUCCGUAGGUGAACCUGCGGAAGGAUCAUUAUUGAAAUAAACCUGAUGGGUUGCUGCUGGCUCUUUUGGGAGCAUGUGCACACCUGUCGUCUUUAUAUUUCCACCUGUGCACCUUUUGUAGAUCUGGAUACCUUUCUGAAAGAUUUGCACUUGCAAUUCUUUUUCAGGUUUGAGGAUUGACCUUGUGUCUCUUCCUUACAUUUCCAGAUCUAUGUUUCUUCAUAUACCCCAAUGUAUGUUUAUAGAAUGUAAUCAAAUGGGUCUUUGUGCCUAUAAAAUUUAUACAACUUUCAGCAACGGAUCUCUUGGCUCUCGCAUCGAUGAAGAACGCAGCGAAAUGCGAUAAGUAAUGUGAAUUGCAGAAUUCAGUGAAUCAUCGAAUCUUUGAACGCACCUUGCGCUCCUUGGUAUUCCGAGGAGCAUGCCUGUUUGAGUGUCAUUAAUAUAUCAACCUCUUCAGCUUUUGCUUGUUGAGUGUUGGAUGUGGGGGGUUUAUUUUUUGCUGGCUUUUUCUUGAAGUCAGCUCCCCUGAAAUAUAUUAGCGGAGCAAUUCAUUGAUCGUUCAUUGGUGUGAUAAUUAUCUACGCUAUUGACGUGAUGUGGUUCAGCUUAUAACAGUCCAUUGACUUGGACAAAUCCUUUUUAUUAAUGUGACCUCAAAUCAGGUAG